UUCCCCAAUCCAAUCCAAUCGUCUUUCAUCUCCAAUCCGACCGUCUUUCGGCCUCGUCACCAUCCGCCCCUACUCCUGCCGUCUGUUCACUCUGGCGUGGCCGUCUAUUCGCUCUGACGUGCCCAUCUGUUCACUCCGGCACUGCCAUUAACGAAUGACGAAACCCCCGCAAUCCCUCCACAAUCUCCGAACCUUUUCAAUUUGUUCCCGUCUUCUCCGACGCUACCAUUUGUGCCUGCCAUCAACUCCUUUGCCGUGUGAGAUCUCUUGUUGCUUUGAAUCUUAACAACUAUGGUAGUGGCAGGCAUCAGUGGAGAAAUCUUACACCAGAGUACAUGGAAAAGGUGAUUGAUGUGUGGAGAAAACAUUGGAGCAAACACAUAUAUGUGGGAUAAUUAUGGUAUUGCUACAAUUUAAACAUCUUUUUUUAUCCUAUCAAAAUUUGGGAUUAUAUAUAUAAAGUCAUUUUAUUUGAAUUAAGAAUUUACUCGUUCUAGUAGUUAAGGACUUUGUUGGAACUUAGUAUUAAUUUUUUCAAACCUUUGAAUGUAUAUAAUGCUUUCUUUUUCUUUUUUACGUUAUAAAUUUGAAUAUUUUGGUUGUAAUUAUUAUCAUGAAUUUGGAUGAAUGUGAACUAUACCUUCUUAGUAUGGCAAA
This is a long non-coding RNA of Cucumis sativus (cucumber), 657 nucleotides long. RefSeq lists it as uncharacterized. The record is from RefSeq and is a predicted model, not a curated record. NCBI's taxonomy places the organism in Eukaryota, Viridiplantae, Streptophyta, Magnoliopsida, Cucurbitales, Cucurbitaceae. The transcript is spliced from 3 exons.